GGACUACACGGGUAUCUAAUCCUGUUUGCUCCCCUAGCUUUCGCGCCUCAGCGUCAGGUUUGGCACAGAAAACCGUCUUCACCACCGGUAUUCUUCCACAUAUCUACGCAUUUCACCGCUACACGUGGAAUUCUGUUUUCCCUUACCAACCUCUAGUCUGAAAGUUUCAAAUGCAGCUCCGGGGUUGAGCCCCGGAAUUUCACAUCAGACUUUUCAAACCGCCUACGCGCCCUUUACGCCCAGUCAAUCCGAUCAAUGCUUGCACCCUCCGUAUUACCGCGGCUGCUGGCAC
This 292-nucleotide ribosomal RNA is filed under the name uncultured bacterium. RNAcentral's name for it is "partial 16S ribosomal RNA". The record is from RNAcentral.